Meleagris gallopavo (turkey) is the source of this 286-nucleotide non-coding RNA. NCBI's taxonomy places the organism in Eukaryota, Metazoa, Chordata, Aves, Galliformes, Phasianidae. The record is from RefSeq and is a predicted model, not a curated record.
CUCCCAUCUUGGGACCACUCCCCCCACACCGCGUGCUUUCAUUCUCGUCUAGCUCUUUACUCUGGACAACCUGGGAAGAUGCUGAAUGCCCUAAGUCUGCACCCAGCUUUCCUUCUGGAGAAAACCAAGAUGUAAGAAAAUGCAACUUCAUCUCUCAGGGUUUUCCUCCUUCACAUGGGAAUGCACUCUACCUCACCCAACAGGCAUCAGAUACUGAUUUUCCUUCCAAGUACACAUAAGGACUAACAAAAAGUAACAAAUGCUGUUGUGGGGAUAAGCAAAGGAU